Molecule: long non-coding RNA, 2582 nt
Organism: Gallus gallus (chicken)
Lineage: Eukaryota; Metazoa; Chordata; Aves; Galliformes; Phasianidae
Source: Ensembl
CGGGCCGAGCACCAACAGCGGCGCCUCCGGCACGGACGCGUCCGCUUCCGGCCCAGCCGGGCCCAGCGCCCGUUCCAGCGCUGCCGCCAUUCGGCCGUGGCCAAUCUCUGCCUCCGUUCCGCGGGGAGCGGCCAAUGGGAGCUCGGAGCCCCUCAGCCAAUCGGGGAGCGGCUUCCCUCAGCGCUGCUCCCGCCCACCGCGCGCCUCAACCAAUCGGAGGGGAGAGUCCCGCGGAGCCGCUCCCGCCCGCCGUGCUCUCCUCAGCCAAUCGGAGAGGAGCAUCUCUCAGCCCACGGCGCGCGCCUCAGCCAACCAGAAGAGGCUCCCUCCCGCUCCCGCCCACCGCGCGCGUCUCAGCCAAUCGGAGGGCACGAAAAGGAGGGCGGGAUGCCCGUCCCGCGCGCCGUCCCCCUCCUCGCUUUUCAUUGGCCGCUCCAGCCGCCAAUCCAGCACCGCCCCGUCUCCCGACGCGCUUCAAAGCCCCGCCCCUUCCCGCUCCGCUCAGCCAAUAGGGAGGCGGUACCCGGCAGGGGGGGGCGUGCCCGGAGCUGUCAGUCACUCCCCGCUGCCUGGCAACGCGUUGCUUGGCGACGGCGGGCUGUUGCCGGGCAACGGGGCGAGUUGGGCGCGGCUCCGCGCAUGCGCAGACGAGACGGGACGCACGAUGUGCACCAGGAGGCGCAGGGAUGGAUGAUGCACAGGGAUGCAUGAGGCUGCAGGGCUUGCACGAGGAUGCACGAGGGUGCACGAGGAGGCGCCGGGUUGCACGACAAUGCACGGGUGUGAGCACACGAGGAUGCACCGGAGAGCAUAAGAAUGCAUGGGGUUGGGGGGCAUGAGGGAUGUGCAGCGUUGCACGGGGAUUCACAGGGAUGGAUGCACGGGGGGGCUGCGGGAUGCAAGAGGGGUGCACGAGGAUGCACGGCGGUGCACGAGGAUGCAUGCACGGGAUGCACGAGGGUGCACAGUGUUGCACAGCGUCGCACGAGGAUGCACGGUGUCGCACGAGGAUGCACGGGGUUGCACAAGGAUGCACGGUGUUGCAUGAGGGUGCAUGCACGAGGUUGCACAGUGUUGCACAGCAUCACACAAGGAUGCACGGGGUUGCACAAGGAUGCACGGGGGUGCACGCGCGUGCACAGCAUUGCACGAUGCAUGAGGAUGGAUGCACAGUGACGCAUGGUGGCUCAUGGUCAGGGUGCAAAAUGGUGCACGAGGGUGCCCGGGGUUACACGAGGAUGCACGAGGGUGCGUGGGGAUGCACGUGGAGGAUGCACUUGGUGCACAACGGUGCACGCGGACGGACGCACGAGGGUGCAGAGGGCGGCACAAGGAUGCAAGGGGGUGCACAAGAUUGGAUGCACGGGGAUGCACGAGGAUGGAUGCAUGAGGCGGCACGAGGAUGCACGGGGAUGUGCAAGGAUGCUCAGAGUUGCACGAGGUUGCACGGGGAGGCACGGGGAUGCACAAGUGUGCAGAGGACACACGGGGACACGUGUGGGCAGCCGAAGUCGCCCAGCCCGGUGCACACGGUUGCACGAGGCCGCGUGCCAUUGCACCAGGAUGCACGAGGAUGCAUGGCGAGGCACGGCGUGGCACGGGGAGGCACGAGGCUGCACGGGGAUACAAGGGCGUGCACGGGGGUGGGUGCACGAGGGUGCAAGAGGUUGCACGAGGGCGCAGAGCACACACGGGGACGGCUGCAGAGGGACACCCGAGGACGCCCAAAGCUUCACGGGGACGCCCGCGGGCUCACGAGGAUGCACGGCCCCGUGCACGGGGAUGCACGAGGAUGCACGAGAGGAUGCACGAGGAGGCCGGCUCGGGGCGUCCCCUCGGCUACGCGUAUUCUCCAGCAAUAACAGCGCGGCCGUGUUAUCCGCCCGAGAAUACCCGUCACCGCGGGGCGCGGGGGGGGCAUCCGGGGGGGGGGGGGUGGGGGGGGAUUGAGGGGGGAAAGGGGGGAGGGGAGGGGAGGAGGAGGAGGGGGGAUUCGAACCCGCGGACGGGGGAAGCCCUGGGCGGGGCCUCGAGAGCCGCCGGGUGGGGAUUCAGCACCACGGACAGCGGCAAUGCUGCUCUAAUGGGGGCUGUGGGGGUUCUAUAGGGAUCUAUAGGGGUCUAUGGGGGACCAUAGGGGUUCUAUGAGGUCUAUGGGGGCUCUAUGGGGGACUAGAGGGGUUCUAUAGGGGUCUUUGUGUCUCAGCAGCAUGGACAGUGGCAAUGGGGCUGUAAAGUGGGCUGUGGGGGUUCUAUAGGGAUCUAUAGGGGUCUAUGGGGGACCAUAGGGGUUCUAUGAGGUCUAUGGGGACUCUAUGGGGGACUAUAGGGGUUCUAUAGUGGUCUAUGGGGCUCAGCACCACGGACAGCGGCAAUGCUGCUCUAAUGGGGGCUGUGGGGGUUCUAUAGGGGUCUGUGGGGCCCUAUAGGGGUCUAUAGAGGUCUAUGGAGCACUAUAGGAGUACUAUAGGGGUCUAUGCGGUUCAGCACCACGGACAGUGGCAAAUGGGGGCUCUAAUGGGGGCUGUGGGGGUUCUAUAGGGGUCUGUGGGGGUCUGUGGGGGACUAUAGGGGUAUUAUGG